This 654-nucleotide small RNA is filed under the name Pan troglodytes (chimpanzee). RNAcentral's name for it is "retained intron". Lineage: Eukaryota; Metazoa; Chordata; Mammalia; Primates; Hominidae. The record is from RNAcentral.
CUGCAAGCCUCAGCCACAGCCAGGGCUUGGGGGCUGCCCGACAGGUAGAGCAAGUGAGCAAGCUCUUUGGCUAGGGGUUCCCCAGGGCUGGCCCUGCUGGGAGGGCAUGUGGCCCUCUGACAGGCCAUGGUGCCAUCUCUUCAGAGUUGAGUAAUGUGGAGUUCCACUGCGGGAGGGCCGAGGACCUGGUGCCCACCCUGGUGAGCAGACUGGCCUCCCAGCACCUCGUGGCCAUCCUGGACCCACCCCGUGCUGGCUUGCAUUCCAAGGUGAUCCUGGCCAUCCGGAGAGCUAAGAACCUCAGGCGGCUGCUGUACGUCUCAUGCAACCCCCGGGCAGCCAUGGGCAACUUUGUGGACCUCUGCAGAGCCCCAUCUAACCGGGUGAAGGGCAUUCCCUUCCGGCCGGUCAAGGCUGUGGCAGUGGACCUGUUCCCGCAGACCCCGCACUGUGAGAUGCUCAUCCUGUUUGAGAGGGUGGAGCACCCCAAUGGCACAGGGGUCUUGGGGCCCCACAGCCCUCCAGCUCAACCCACACCAGGACCCCCAGAUGACACCCUACAAGAAACUGGGACCUUCCCCUCAUCCUAGGCCCAGGACCCAUUAUGGGGACAGGAGCUGAAGGGCUCCCAGGGCCCCAGGGGCGGGGAAGGCA